CAGUCGCCGCGGGAAUACGUAGGGUGCAAGCGUUAAUCGGAAUUACUGGGCGUAAAGCGUGCGCAGGCGGUUAUAUAAGACAGAUGUGAAAUCCCCGGGCUCAACCUGGGAACUGCAUUUGUGACUGUAUAGCUAGAGUACGGCAGAGGGGGAUGGAAUUCCGCGUGUAGCAGUGAAAUGCGUAGAUAUGUGGAGGAACACCGAUGGCGAAGGCAAUCCCCUGGGCCUGUACUGACGCUCAUGCACGAAAGCGUGGGGAGCAAACAGGAUUAGAUACCCCAGUAGUCCCUGUCUCUUAUAC
This 301-nucleotide ribosomal RNA is filed under the name uncultured bacterium. RNAcentral describes it as "partial 16S ribosomal RNA". It matches the Rfam family "Bacterial small subunit ribosomal RNA", at positions 509 to 807 of the family's 1533-position model. The record is from RNAcentral.